RNAcentral lists this ribosomal RNA (161 nucleotides) under uncultured bacterium. RNAcentral's name for it is "partial 16S ribosomal RNA". It matches the Rfam family "Bacterial small subunit ribosomal RNA", at positions 349 to 507 of the family's 1533-position model. The record is from RNAcentral.
CAGCAGUGGGGAAUAUUGGGCAAUGCCCGAAAGGGUGACCCAGCAACGCCGCGUGGAGGAAGAAGGCCUUCAGGUCGUAAACUCCUGUCCUAGGGGACGAACAUCCGGGUUAACACCCCGGAUUGACCUCCCCCUCAGAAAAAGCCCCGGCUAGCUACGUG